AUUGAACGCUGGCGGCAUGCCUUACACAUGCAAGUCGAACGGCAGCGCGGGAGCAAUCCUGGCGGCGAGUGGCGAACGGGUGAGUAAUAUAUCGGAACGUGCCCAGUAGUGGGGGAUAGCCCGGCGAAAGCCGGAUUAAUACCGCAUGAGACCUGAGGGUGAAAGCGGGGGAUCGCAAGACCUCGCGCUAUUGGAGCGGCCGAUAUCAGAUUAGCUAGUUGGUGGGGUAAAGGCCUACCAAGGCAACGAUCUGUAGUUGGUCUGAGAGGACGACCAGCCACACUGGGACUGAGAUACGGCCCAGACUCCUACGGGAGGCAGCAGUGGGGAAUUUUGGACAAUGGGCGCAAGCCUGAUCCAGCAAUGCCGCGUGCAGGAAGAAGG
RNAcentral lists this ribosomal RNA (384 nucleotides) under uncultured bacterium. RNAcentral describes it as "bacterial SSU rRNA". It matches the Rfam family "Bacterial small subunit ribosomal RNA", at positions 29 to 414 of the family's 1533-position model. The record is from RNAcentral.